GGGGGUGGGAUGCCAGGUUGCCUGGAUGUCAUAUCAAGUGGCAGGAGCUGAAAAUCUGGUCGGCUCUCCGCCUCGCCACUCCCACCUGCCCUACCAGAUAUGCUGGAAUGCGGUCAGAAUGCGCAGCACCUGAAACCAAGUGAGUCUUUGCAGUCGAAAGCUGUGUUUGUGUCACCUUGACGGCGGCACUUGUGACAGGAACACCGAGGUCAGGAGCGGCGACAUUUCAGAGAGCGGGCACCCCUGGAGAAGACGCCGGAGAAGAGUUAAGGGCCUCACAGUGAAGGCGCCAGGAGACGGAGAAGCGAGUGAGGUCACAACUGGCAUGAAUCUGUCCUGUGUCAGUGGAGACAUGGAGUCCUCGGAUGUCACCAACCCCUACGGUCACAUCACCCUCCCGCGGGCUCAGCUGCGGAUCACCAACUUGGACAACAGCACCGUCAUCAGCAACCCGAUGGCCAGAGAGCAGGAGCAGCUCCCGCCAGGGGGCUUCAUGCCUCAAGGUGGGCGAGUCGUCCUGCCGUCACAAAUGAAUGGCGCUAACCCGAGCAGCGUCACGGCUCCAUACGGUGCAGCUGUCCAGCAUGGAGGGAAGACGCGACCCAAGUCUGAGUCUGAGGGGGGCACCUGCUGCUGCUGCUGCUCCUGCUGCCGGAAGAAGUGCUGCUGUGUGGUGUCCUAAACGCUGCCCCCUGCUGGCAGCUGUCCAUUGUCCAUUCUCUCCUGUGGACACUCGAAACUAAAAGAAGAGGCCACCUUACUUGUGCUGGCCAGAGCCGUCUUCACCAAGGGGAGAUGCCAUGAUGUUGCCUGCUUUCCACCACCCACCUCCUCCACCCAUCAUCAUUUAGGUCUCUCCAGUGGUGGGCUUCCAUCCCAGCUAUCCCUCACCUGCUCACAUUUGGUGGCUAACGAUGACAUCUGGCCUGAAUGAUAACACGGGGUCUCACAGUUCUUGAGAUCCCGGCAGGUGGUGAGCUGGCAUGGCCUAAUACUGACCAGGGGGACAACAAGGGAGGGGACCGAACACAGGAGAUGUGACUCUGAGCUGACCAGGCAAUGGACUUUGUGUCCGAGAUCUGUGAGUACAAUGCUGGACUUGGGUGGGACUGUGGACUCCCCUCCAGCUAACUACUUACAAGCCACCUGAAGUGAGGGUCCUCCAUGAGUGCAGCCCACCCCUGCCACAGCACGCCCAUCCUUCACUCCUUUAAAGAAUUGAGAAGGUCAGCCCAUCAUGUGUGGCCCCGUGUUUGGCAAGUUCUUCUUGCGCCCAGGAGAAGGUCAGGGCUGGCAUUGGCUCCUCCCUGACGCUGCUAGGACAGACUGUGCCCACCCCCCUCAAUGCCCCUCUAUUGGAGUAUUCACUUCAAAUGUUUAUUAAACUUUGUUCUUUUUU
Long non-coding RNA from Erpetoichthys calabaricus (reedfish), 1399 nucleotides. RefSeq lists it as uncharacterized. The transcript is spliced from 2 exons. NCBI's taxonomy places the organism in Eukaryota, Metazoa, Chordata, Cladistia, Polypteriformes, Polypteridae. The record is from RefSeq and is a predicted model, not a curated record.